Molecule: ribosomal RNA, 750 nt
Filed under: uncultured Coprobacillus sp.
Lineage: Bacteria; Bacillati; Bacillota; Erysipelotrichia; Erysipelotrichales; Coprobacillaceae
Description: bacterial SSU rRNA
Rfam family: Bacterial small subunit ribosomal RNA
Source: RNAcentral
GAUGAACGCUGGCGGCGUGCCUAAUACAUGCAAGUCGAACGCUUCACUUCGGUGAAGAGUGGCGAACGGGUGAGUAAUACAUAAGUAACCUGGCAUCUACAGGGGGAUAACUGAUGGAAACGUCAGCUAAGACCGCAUAGGUGUAGAGAUCGCAUGAACUCUAUAUGAAAAGUGCUACGGGACUGGUAGAUGAUGGACUUAUGGCGCAUUAGCUGGUUGGUAGGGUAACGGCCUACCAAGGCGACGAUGCGUAGCCGACCUGAGAGGGUGACCGGCCACACUGGGACUGAGACACGGCCCAGACUCCUACGGGAGGCAGCAGUAGGGAAUUUUCGGCAAUGGGGGAAACCCUGACCGAGCAACGCCGCGUGAAGGAAGAAGUAAUUCGUUAUGUAAACUUCUGUCAUAGAGGAAGAACGGUGGAUAUAGGGAAUGAUAUCCAAGUGACGGUACUCUAUAAGAAAGCCACGGCUAACUACGUGCCAGCAGCCGCGGUAAUACGUAGGUGGCGAGCGUUAUCCGGAAUUAUUGGGCGUAAAGAGGGAGCAGGCGGCACUAAGGGUCUGUGGUGAAAGAUCGAAGCUUAACUUUGGUAAGCCAUGGAAACCGUAGAGCUAGAGUGUGUGAGAGGAUCGUGGAAUUCCAUGUGUAGCGGUGAAAUGCGUAGAUAUAUGGAGGAACACCAGUGGCGAAGGCGACGAUCUGGCGCAUAACUGACGCUCAGUCCCGAAAGCGUGGGGAGCAAAUAGG